RNAcentral lists this ribosomal RNA (121 nucleotides) under Microtus ochrogaster (prairie vole). Lineage: Eukaryota; Metazoa; Chordata; Mammalia; Rodentia; Cricetidae. The record is from RNAcentral.
UUUUAAAAAAUUAUUGUCUACAGCCAUAACUAGCCUGAUUUCAGAAACUAAACAGGAUCAAGCCUGGUUAGUACUUGGAUGGGAGACUACCUGGAAAUACUGCAUAUAGGCUUAUUAAAAU